Long non-coding RNA from Hyla sarda, 417 nucleotides. RefSeq lists it as uncharacterized. Lineage: Eukaryota; Metazoa; Chordata; Amphibia; Anura; Hylidae. The transcript is spliced from 3 exons. The record is from RefSeq and is a predicted model, not a curated record.
CUCAGCAAUUUUUCCUCUGGACAGGUUUUGAUGUACAUAGCAAACCGUUAUCAAUUUACCUAUAGAUUUCCAGGAGGAAUAACAAAGGAACAGCUCAACUCCAGGGAUGUCCUGAAUUAGAAAAAGGGAUGCUUGAUUUUUUUCCCCCAGAAACAUGGCCACCAUUGACUUCCCCAAUUAUUUAAUAACAGAAAUGGGAUUGCAGUCAGGUAAUAUGAUGGACUUUGAUGUAGGCCAAGGACUGGAGAGAUUGUGAAGGUUUAAUCAAUAUUCAUUGACCAAGGUCCGAACCACAAGCAAACAUUUAUUCAUUUGUCUAAAGGUAGUGCUACUACUCCCAGCAUGGAACAGACUGAUGCUUGAUGAAGUCGCCUAAGUGCGGUGAAACGAGUUGCAUUUGAAUAAAAAAUCUUUUAC